Molecule: long non-coding RNA, 266 nt
Filed under: Nicotiana benthamiana
Lineage: Eukaryota; Viridiplantae; Streptophyta; Magnoliopsida; Solanales; Solanaceae
Description: long non-coding RNA (NBEN_LNC037987)
Source: RNAcentral
UCUAGACUCGGGAACUCUGAAAGGCAUGUAGCUUACCGAUCAAGCUGAACUCAAGUAAUACUUAUCGAAGAGUCCUACUCGUCUGUCUGACCUGCACGCAUGAAAUGCAGUGCUCCCAAAAAAGGGACGUCAGCACAAAAUAAUGUACUGAGUAUGUAAGGCAAUAUACUAAAAGUUGAAACUGAACUAAUAAUAUAAUAACAACAAAUACCUAGAAGUAAAAUAUAAUCCGAAUAUAUGCUUACCUGCUGAUACUGACUCAAUUC